Molecule: microRNA precursor, 130 nt
Filed under: Chlorocebus sabaeus (green monkey)
Lineage: Eukaryota; Metazoa; Chordata; Mammalia; Primates; Cercopithecidae
Description: MIR7504 microRNA precursor family
Rfam family: MIR7504 microRNA precursor family
Source: Rfam by way of RNAcentral
UACAGGCGUGAGCCACAGCACCUGACCUCUCAUUCAUUUUUUUUUUUUUUUUUUUUUUUUUUGAAAAAAAAAAAAAAAAAAAAAAAAAAAAAAAUGAAUGAGAGGUCAGGUGCUGUGGCUCACGCCUGUA